CCCUACAUGGCAAAAGGCUUGGCAGACGUGACAAAGUGAAGAGUCUUGAGAUGGGGAGAUGAUCCUGCAUUGUCUGGAUGGGCUGGGUGUGGUCGUGACAGUUUUCAUAAGAGGGCUGCAGGACUACACUUUCUUCCUGAGAGGGUUCCUAACUUCUCUGAAGUCAAGUUGAGCGUCCACAUCUAAAGCCCCAGGUAAGUUCAUGGUGACCAGGACUCCAGUUAGUGGUUACUUGUCUAUCUCCACAAGGAUAUUUCCUACAACAACAGGAGUUUGGGUACCUCCAGAAGAAAUGCUUGGGCCUCAGCAA
This 310-nucleotide long non-coding RNA is filed under the name Homo sapiens (human). RNAcentral describes it as "non-protein coding lnc-BNIP1-4:2". The record is from RNAcentral. Lineage: Eukaryota; Metazoa; Chordata; Mammalia; Primates; Hominidae.